This 1017-nucleotide long non-coding RNA is filed under the name Scleropages formosus (Asian bonytongue). Its description in RNAcentral is "lncRNA (ENSSFOG00015025116.1)". The record is from RNAcentral. Lineage: Eukaryota; Metazoa; Chordata; Actinopteri; Osteoglossiformes; Osteoglossidae.
AUGCUGACGUGCGGCGUCAGGAGUCGCCGCGGCGCCUGCGGAAGCAAGUGGACGACAGGGCCCCGGCGUACCUCAAGGAGCUUCACCGAGGAGCCCCGCGUAACGGGCCUCCUGGCCCUCGUCAUCUCCAUGGCGAUGGAGACGGUGUACGCGUCCAGCCGGAGGUCCCCCCCCGGCGCCGGCGCGGAGGGCAAGGUGACGGAGCUGCGCGACGUCACGGAGGAGUACCCGAAGCGGUGUCGGAUGCACGCGUCGGACGCGGGGCGCCUGCGCGAGGACACGCGGCGCCUGGAGGCUGAGCUGAGCUACCGGUUGACGCAGAUCAAGGGCGCCGUGCGGCGCGCUCCACGGCCACAUGCUCAUCCGGCCGCCCGGAUGGACGGGGGCGGCGCGGAACCGGCCCGCGCGGCCCUCGCCGCGUACCGCCGCGACCUGUCCGAGCCGCUGAGCGCCUACCGCCGCUACAAAGCCGGCGCGGUGCGCAUCUCGAGGCGCUGGGCGGGGCAGCCCGCGGAGGAGGCCGUGGCCGACGUUGCCGUCCCGGGGUACAGCGUCCGCGACAGGGAGCUGGGCGAGUCCGCCGACGUGCCGCCCCUAGACGACGGCCCGCCGCUCACGGCCGAGUCCUGCGUCGAGGCGUACCUGGAGCAGCUGUUCUCCCGGCACGGCGCCAUCGCGACGUGGACGAGCACUUCCGCGAGACUGUCGAGAACCUGCCGGAUCUCUUCGCCCGGGGAGGAGACGCCCCGCCCCCCGCCGACGGGGGCCCGUCGUCCUAGACGCGUUCGCGUCCGCUCGCGCCCGUCCGCUUUCGCACCGGCGCCCCCUGCUGGGGGAUGUGCUCGUGACAAACGAGGAACCCUUUUCCGCCAGCCCUGGGUCACCUCCGUAACCCGAUCGAGGCGCUUACCGUGUAUCCCCGUGGUAAAAACAGCCUGGUGCGUAAAUGGAUCGGAUCCUGGAAGUCGCACUUUCAAGCGCGAGCCGAGUAACGGUAAUAAUUUACACUGCGCCUGA